GAUGAACGCUAGCUACAGGCUUAACACAUGCAAGUCGAGGGGUAACGAGAGGUAAGCUUGCUUUCCUUGUCGACGACCGGCGCACGGGUGAGUAACGCGUAUCCAACCUGCCCCCAACUAAGGAAUAACCUUGCGAAAGUAAGACUAAUACCUUAUAAUUUCCUCAGAUGUCAUCUGACGAGGAAUAAAGAUUUAUCGGUUGUGGAUGGGGAUGCGUCUGAUUAGCUUGUUGGCGGGGUAACGGCCCACCAAGGCAACGAUCAGUAGGGGUUCUGAGAGGAAGGUCCCCCACAUUGGAACUGAGACACGGUACAAACUCCUACGGGAGGCAGCAGUGAGGAAUAUUGGUCAAUGGGCGGAAGCCUGAACCAGCCAAGUAGCGUGCAGGAUGACGGCCCUAUGGGUUGUAAACUGCUUUUAUACAGGAAUAAAGUUGGCCACGUGUGGUUAUUUGUAGGUACUGUAUGAAUAAGGACCGGCUAAUUCCGUGCCAGCAGCCGCCGUAA
RNAcentral lists this ribosomal RNA (506 nucleotides) under uncultured bacterium. RNAcentral's name for it is "partial 16S ribosomal RNA". It matches the Rfam family "Bacterial small subunit ribosomal RNA", at positions 28 to 523 of the family's 1533-position model. The record is from RNAcentral.